RNAcentral lists this ribosomal RNA (253 nucleotides) under uncultured bacterium. RNAcentral's name for it is "partial 16S ribosomal RNA". It matches the Rfam family "Bacterial small subunit ribosomal RNA", at positions 524 to 776 of the family's 1533-position model. The record is from RNAcentral.
UACAGAGGUCUCAAGCGUUGUUCGGAUUCAUUGGGCGUAAAGGGUGCGUAGGCGGCGCGGUAAGUCGGGUGUGAAAUCUCGGGGCUUAACUCCGAAACUGCAUUCGAUACUGCCGUGCUUGAGGACUGGAGAGGAGACUGGAAUUUACGGUGUAGCGGUGAAAUGCGCAGAUAUCAGGAGGAACACCGGUGGCGAAGGCGGAUCUCUGGGCCUGUCCUGACGCUGAGGCGCGAAAGCUAGGGGAGCGAACAGG